This 468-nucleotide ribosomal RNA is filed under the name uncultured bacterium. RNAcentral describes it as "partial 16S ribosomal RNA". It matches the Rfam family "Bacterial small subunit ribosomal RNA", at positions 28 to 507 of the family's 1533-position model. The record is from RNAcentral.
GACGAACGCUGGCGGCGUGCUUAACACAUGCAAGUCGAACGGAAAGGCCCUGCUUUUGUGGGGUGCUCGAGUGGCGAACGGGUGAGUAACCCGUGAGUAACCUGCCCUUGACUUUGGGAUAACUUCAGGAAACUGGGGCUACUACCGGAGAGGAGCGCCUGCUGCAGGGUGGGGGUUGGACAGUUUCGGCGGUGGGGGAUGGACUCGCGGCUUAUCAGCUUGUUGGUGGGGUAGUGGCUUACCAAGGCUUCGACGGGUAGCCGGCCUGAGAGGGUGACCGGCCACAUUGGGACUGAGAUACGGCCCAGACUCCUACGGGAGGCAGCAGUGGGGAAUAUUGCACAAUGGGCGGAAGCCUGAUGCAGCAACGCCGCGUGCGGGAUGACGGCCUUCGGGUUGUAAACCGCUUUAGCCUGUGACGAAGCGGGAGUGACGGUAAUGGGUAAAGAAGCACCGGCUAACUACGUG